RNAcentral lists this long non-coding RNA (337 nucleotides) under Sorghum bicolor (sorghum). RNAcentral describes it as "long non-coding RNA (SBIC_LNC005782)". Lineage: Eukaryota; Viridiplantae; Streptophyta; Magnoliopsida; Poales; Poaceae. The record is from RNAcentral.
CGAAUCACACACACGGGCAGGCAGGGGCUCCGUCUCCUCUUCCCCAUCGCCUCACCUACGAGUGAUAGGCGCGCGCUCCCUCUCUCUCACUAGCCCCUCGCCAUUACUCCCCCAUAAAGGAAGAACAGAGCAAACGGAGAGGAAGAAGCGGGCCGGAGAAAGAGGAGGCCCCUCACAGCUCUGAGACUCUCUGCAACUCCGGCUCGCCGCCUGCCUGCCUCCCUCUGCCAACCGCGCGGCGCGGCCACCACGCUAGCCCCUCGUAGGUGAACAGAGCCUGCAGACUGCAGUCGAUAGCACAGUAAAUUCCGCGGCAUUCCAUUCCUCUUCCCUUUCG